Molecule: ribosomal RNA, 504 nt
Filed under: uncultured bacterium
Lineage: Bacteria
Description: partial 16S ribosomal RNA
Rfam family: Bacterial small subunit ribosomal RNA
Source: RNAcentral
GACGAACGCUGGCGGCGUGCUUAACACAUGCAAGUCGAACGGUGAAGCGCUUGCCUUUUUGGUGGGUGUGGAUGAGUGGCGAACGGGCGAGUAACACGUGAGUAACCUGCCCUCUUCUUCUGGAUAACCUCAUGAAAGUGGGGCUAAUACGGGGUAUUCCGGGUCUGUCGCAUGGCGGGUUUGGGAAAGAUUGCGCCUUUGGGUGUUUUCGGUGGGGGAUGGGCUCGCGGCCUAUCAGCUUGUUGGUGGGGUGAUGGCCUACCAAGGCGGUGACGGGUAGCCGGCCUGAGAGGGUGGACAGCCACACUGGGACUGAGACACGGCCCAGACUCCUGCGGGAGGCAGCAGUGGGGAAUAUUGCACAAUGGGCGCAAGCCUGAUGCAGCGACGCCGCGUGAGGGAUGGAGGCCUUCGGGUUGUGAACCUCUUUCGCCAGUGAAGCAGGCCUGCUCCUGUGUGGGUGGGUUGACGGUAGCUGGAUAAGAAGCGCCGGCUAACUACGUG